CGCUGGCGGCGUGCUUAACACAUGCAAGUCGAAACGAAGCAUAAGAGUUGCUUGCAACACUUAUGACUUAGUGGCGGACGGGUGAGUAACGCGUGGGUAACCUACCCUGUACAGGGGGAUAACAGUUAGAAAUGACUGCUAAUACCGCAUAAGCACACACUGUCACAUGACAGAGGGUGAAAAGAUUUAUCGGUACAGGAUUGGCCCGCGGCCCAUUAGCUAGUUGGUGUGGUAAAGGCAUACCAAGGCGAUGAUGGGUAUCCGGCCUGAGAGGGUGAUCGGACACAUUGGGACUGAGAUACGGCCCAGACUCCUACGGGAGGCAGCAGCUAAGAAUAUUCCGCAAUGGACGAAAGUCUGACGGAGCGACGCCGCGUGAACGAAGAAGGUGGAAACAUUGUAAAGUUCUUUUAAUUGAGAGGAAUAAGCUUUGUAGGGAAUGACAGAGUGGUGACUGUAUCAAUUGAAUAAGCAACGGCUAAUUACGUG
Molecule: ribosomal RNA, 489 nt
Filed under: uncultured bacterium
Lineage: Bacteria
Description: bacterial SSU rRNA
Rfam family: Bacterial small subunit ribosomal RNA
Source: RNAcentral